Molecule: small nucleolar RNA, 85 nt
Filed under: Trifolium pratense (red clover)
Lineage: Eukaryota; Viridiplantae; Streptophyta; Magnoliopsida; Fabales; Fabaceae
Source: RNAcentral
UGGCUAUGAUUAUAUAUUAUCCGCGCUUCUGAGUUUUUCUAUGAAGUAUAUCGGAAUAAAUGGUUGAAUUUCUUAAUAUGAGCCA